RNAcentral lists this ribosomal RNA (444 nucleotides) under uncultured Coriobacteriaceae bacterium. RNAcentral's name for it is "bacterial SSU rRNA". It matches the Rfam family "Bacterial small subunit ribosomal RNA", at positions 338 to 795 of the family's 1533-position model. The record is from RNAcentral. Lineage: Bacteria; Bacillati; Actinomycetota; Coriobacteriia; Coriobacteriales; Coriobacteriaceae.
CCUACGGGUGGCAGCAGUGGGGAAUCUUGCACAAUGGGCGGAAGCCUGAUGCAGCGACGCCGCGUGCGGGACGAAGGCCUUCGGGCUGUAAACCGCUUUCAGCAGGGACGAGGCGAAAGUGACGGUACCUGCAGAAGAAGCCCCGGCUAACUACGUGCCAGCAGCCGCGGUAAUACGUAGGGGGCAAGCGUUAUCCGGAUUCAUUGGGCGUAAAGCGCGCGUAGGCGGCCAGCCUGGUCGGGAGUCAAAUCCGGGGGCUCAGCCCCCGUCAGCUCCCGAUACCGGCCGGCUUGAGUCUGGCAGGGGAAGGCGGAAUUCCCGGUGUAGCGGUGGAAUGCGCAGAUAUCGGGAAGAACACCGGUGGCGAAGGCGGCCUUCUGGGCCACGACUGACGCUGAGGCGCGAAAGCUAGGGGAGCGAACAGGAUUAGAUACCCUGGUAGUC